CCCUAUGGUAGCUAGAUCUUUUAAUCGGGAGACCGGAUCUUUAUAAGGGUGAUGACCUUUUGGAGAUAAAGAAGAUUUAGGUCUUCUUCUGUCGCCCCAACAAAACUCUUUCAAGAUUUUUGGUUAUAGAUUCUCUUUUGGUAAAUCUUGGUAAAGUAAAGCUCAAUAAGGUCUUUUUGUCUUUCUUUUCUAUUCAGAUCUCUUCAUCUGAAGGUUAAUUUUCGGUUAAUAAAAAUGAAACAGCUUUACUCUCGUAUGUUCCUUCAUUCCAGCCUCUAAUUAAGAGGCAAAUUAUUAUGC
This 300-nucleotide ribosomal RNA is filed under the name Scolelepis sp. GF-5817_7142. RNAcentral's name for it is "partial large subunit ribosomal RNA". Lineage: Eukaryota; Metazoa; Annelida; Polychaeta; Spionida; Spionidae. The record is from RNAcentral.